UACGUAGGCAGCGAGCGUUGUUCGGAGUUACUGGGCGUAAAGAGUGCGUAGGCGGUUUUCUAAGUUUGGUGUGAAAUCUCCCGGCUUAACUGGGAGGGUGCGCCGAAAACUGGAAGGCUUGAGUAUGGGAGAGGUAAGCGGAAUUCCUGGUGUAGCGGUGAAAUGCGUAGAUAUCAGGAGGAACACCUGCGGUGAAGACGGCUUACUGGACCAUAACUGACGCUGAGGCACGAAAGCGUGGGUAGCAAACAGG
RNAcentral lists this ribosomal RNA (253 nucleotides) under uncultured bacterium. RNAcentral describes it as "partial 16S ribosomal RNA". It matches the Rfam family "Bacterial small subunit ribosomal RNA", at positions 524 to 776 of the family's 1533-position model. The record is from RNAcentral.